UACGUAGGGCGCAAGCGUUGUCCGGAAUUAUUGGGCGUAAAGAGCUCGUAGGCGGCUUGUCACGUCGAUUGUGAAAGCCCGAGGCUUAACCUCGGGUCUGCAGUCGAUACGGGCUAGCUAGAGUGUGGUAGGGGAGAUCGGAAUUCCUGGUGUAGCGGUGAAAUGCGCAGAUAUCAGGAGGAACACCGGUGGCGAAGGCGGCGAUCUGGGAAGAUACUGACGCUGAGGUGCGAAAGCGUGGGGAGCAAACAGG
This 253-nucleotide ribosomal RNA is filed under the name uncultured bacterium. RNAcentral describes it as "partial 16S ribosomal RNA". It matches the Rfam family "Bacterial small subunit ribosomal RNA", at positions 524 to 776 of the family's 1533-position model. The record is from RNAcentral.